CAAUAGCAUAUAUUAACGUUGUUGCAGUUGAAAAGCUCGUAGUUGAACUUUUGGUAGGAGCGACCUGGCCUUGGGCGCAUGCCCUUGUUUGCCGUGUGUCGUAUCUGGCCAUCCUUUUCUUCUUUUUGGAAGGAAUCCUUUACUGUGAGUAAACUGGAGUGCUCAAAACAAGACGUUUGUUUGGUACAUUAAAGCAUGGAAUAAUAAGAUAGGACCUGGUUACUAUUUUGUUGGUUUGCAUAGCUAGGUAAUGAUUAACAGGGACAGUUGGGGGUAUUCGUAUUUAAUUGUCAGAGGUGAAAUUCUUGGAUUUAUGAAAGACGAACGACUGCGAANGNAUUUACNAAGGAUGUUUNCAUUA
RNAcentral lists this ribosomal RNA (361 nucleotides) under uncultured eukaryote. Its description in RNAcentral is "partial 18S ribosomal RNA". It matches the Rfam family "Eukaryotic small subunit ribosomal RNA", at positions 592 to 975 of the family's 1831-position model. The record is from RNAcentral.